RNAcentral lists this ribosomal RNA (292 nucleotides) under uncultured bacterium. Its description in RNAcentral is "partial 16S ribosomal RNA". It matches the Rfam family "Bacterial small subunit ribosomal RNA", at positions 505 to 796 of the family's 1533-position model. The record is from RNAcentral.
GUGCCAGCCGCCGCGGUAAUACGUAGGGUGCGAGCGUUAAUCGGAAUUACUGGGCGUAAAGCGUGCGCAGGCGGUUCUCCAAGUCCGUUGUGAAAGCCCCGGGCUCAACCUGGGAAUGGCAGUGGAAACUAGGGGACUGGAAUCUGGCAGAGGGGGGUGGAAUGCCGCGUGUAGCAGUGAAAUGCGUAGAGAUGCGGCGGAACACCGAUGGCGAAGGCAGCCCCCUGGGCUGAGAUUGACGCUCAGGCACGAAAGCGUGGGGAGCAAACAGGAUUAGAAACCCCGGUAGUCC